UCCGUUGUAGCAAUACGAUGGAAAGUCUAGUGGCGAACGGGUGCUUAACACGUGGGCAACCUGCCAGGAAGUGGGGGAUAGCUCGCCGAAAGGCGAAUUAAUACCGCAUGUGAUUAGAGAGGACAUCCUUUCAAAAUUAAAGUCGGGGCAACCUGACGCUUCUUGUGGGGCCCGCGGCCUAUCAGCUAGUUGGUGAGGUAACGGCUCACCAAGGCUUUGACGGGUAGCUGGUCUGAGAGGACGACCAGCCACACUGGGACUGAGACACGGCCCAGACACCUACGGGUGGCAGCAGUCGAGAAUUUUUGACAAUGGGGGAAACCCUGAUCGAGCGACGCCGCGUGGAGGAUGAAGGUCUUCGGAUUGUAAACUCCUGUCAUUGGGGAACAAGGUGCAUACGUUAACUGCGUGUGCAUUGAUAGUACCCGAAGAGGAAGAGACGGCUAACUCUGUGCCAGCAGCCGCGGUAAUACAGAGGUCUCAAGCGUUGUUCGGAUUCAUUGGGCGUAAAGGGUGCGUAGGCGGCGCGGUAAGUCGGGUGUGAAAUCUCGGAGCUUAACUCCGAAACUGCAUUCGAUACUGCCGUGCUUGAGGACUGGAGAGGAGACUGGAAUUCUCGGUGUAGCA
This 627-nucleotide ribosomal RNA is filed under the name uncultured Verrucomicrobiota bacterium. RNAcentral describes it as "bacterial SSU rRNA". It matches the Rfam family "Bacterial small subunit ribosomal RNA", at positions 70 to 680 of the family's 1533-position model. The record is from RNAcentral. Lineage: Bacteria; Pseudomonadati; Verrucomicrobiota.